Molecule: ribosomal RNA, 468 nt
Filed under: uncultured bacterium
Lineage: Bacteria
Description: partial 16S ribosomal RNA
Rfam family: Bacterial small subunit ribosomal RNA
Source: RNAcentral
GACGAACGCUGGCGGCGUGCUUAACACAUGCAAGUCGAACGGAAAGGCCCUGCUUUUGUGGGGUGCUCGAGUGGCGAACGGGUGAGUAACACGUGAGUAACCUUCCCUUGACUUUGUGAUAACUUCAGGAAACUGGGGCUAAUACCGGAUAGGAGCUCCUGCUGCAUGGUGGGGGUUGGAAAGUUUCGGCGGUUGGGGAUGGACUCGCGGCUUAUCAGCUUGUUUGUGGGGUAGUGGCUUACCAAGGCUUUGACGGGUAGCCGGCCUGAGAGGGUGACCGGCCACAUUGGGACUGAGAUACGGCCCAGACUCCUACGGGAGGCAGCAGUGGUGAAUAUUGCACAAUGGGCGGAAGCCUGAUGCAGCAACGCCGCGUGCGGGAUGACGGCCUUCGGGUUGUAAACCGCUUUCGCCUGUGACGAAGCGUGAGUGACGGUAAUGGGUAAAGAAGCACCGGCUAACUACGUG